CUGCCCUCCAAAAAAAAAAAAAAAUCUUAGAAAAAAACCUUUAAAGAGAGCAAGUUUGGUCCCAAGGCAAUGAUGAAAGCCAUUAGUGUAUACCUACCAUCCUCCCUUCCCUCCUCACAACACCUACAUAUAGGUUUCAUUCUGUCUAUACACUAAGCCUAGCCAGAGUUGUCAGGAUAAGAUCCCUGCAAUUAAAAAAAAAAGCCUUCUCCCUUUCAGAUUCAAGGGGAUACCAAGUCCCAUGGUUUAGCAUCAGAGAGGGGAAGAUAAAAUAACCCUAGGAAUCAGCCAUCCCCUCUGGCCUAUCCCCAUUCCCAGGCUCAAGAAGCAGUGACCCU
Phascolarctos cinereus (koala) is the source of this 338-nucleotide non-coding RNA. The record is from RefSeq and is a predicted model, not a curated record. Lineage: Eukaryota; Metazoa; Chordata; Mammalia; Diprotodontia; Phascolarctidae.